RNAcentral lists this small nuclear RNA (24 nucleotides) under Arabidopsis thaliana (thale cress). Its description in RNAcentral is "snRNA_11284". The record is from RNAcentral. Lineage: Eukaryota; Viridiplantae; Streptophyta; Magnoliopsida; Brassicales; Brassicaceae.
GUAUAUUAAUAAAAGACCUGAUCG